CUUGAAACUUUGGUUCCCAUACAAUCACUGAAGUUAAGCAACAUCAAGCUUGGUCAGUACCUAGAUAGGUGACCAUCUGGGAAUACCAGGUGCUGUAAG
Non-coding RNA from Acanthosepion pharaonis, 99 nucleotides. The record is from the annotation of a GenBank genome assembly. NCBI's taxonomy places the organism in Eukaryota, Metazoa, Mollusca, Cephalopoda, Sepiida, Sepiidae.